This 460-nucleotide ribosomal RNA is filed under the name uncultured bacterium. RNAcentral's name for it is "partial 16S ribosomal RNA". It matches the Rfam family "Bacterial small subunit ribosomal RNA", at positions 338 to 795 of the family's 1533-position model. The record is from RNAcentral.
CCUACGGGAGGCAGCAGUGAGGAAUAUUGGUCAAUGGACGCAAGUCUGAACCAGCCAUGCCGCGUGCAGGAAGACGGCUCUAUGAGUUGUAAACUGCUUUUGUACGAGGGUAAACGCAGAUACGUGUAUCUGUCUGAAAGUAUCGUACGAAUAAGGAUCGGCUAACUCCGUGCCAGCAGCCGCGGUAAUACGGAGGAUUCAAGCGUUAUCAGGAUAUAUUGGGUUUAAAGGGUGCGUAGGCGGUCGGAUAAGUUAGAGGUGAAAUCCCGAGGCUCAACUUCGGGAUUGCCUCGGAUACUAUUCGACUAGAGAGUAGUAGCGGUAGGCGGAAUGUAAGGUGUAGCGGUGAAAUGCUUAGAGAUAAGACAGAACACCGAUUGCGAAGGCAGCUUACCAAGCUACUUCUGACGUUGAGGCACGAAAGCGUGGGGAGCAAACAGGAUUAGAUACCCCAGUAGUC